UACGGAGGGUGCAAGCGUUAAUCGGACCUACUGGGCGUAAAGCGCACGCAGGCGUUCUGCCAAGUCGGAUGUGAAAUCCCCGGGCUCAACCUGGGAACUGCAUCCGAAACUGGCAGGCUAGCGUCUUGUAGAGGGGGGUAGAAUUGCGGGUGUAGCGGUGAAAUGCGUAGAGAUGUGGAGGAACACCAGUGGAGAAGGCGACUCUUUGGCCUAUAACUGACGCUGAGGCGCGAAAGCGUGGGGAGCAAACAGG
RNAcentral lists this unclassified non-coding RNA (253 nucleotides) under uncultured Enterobacteriaceae bacterium. RNAcentral's name for it is "contains 16S-23S intergenic spacer region". It matches the Rfam family "Bacterial small subunit ribosomal RNA", at positions 524 to 776 of the family's 1533-position model. The record is from RNAcentral. Lineage: Bacteria; Pseudomonadati; Pseudomonadota; Gammaproteobacteria; Enterobacterales; Enterobacteriaceae.